This 387-nucleotide ribosomal RNA is filed under the name uncultured bacterium. RNAcentral describes it as "bacterial SSU rRNA". It matches the Rfam family "Bacterial small subunit ribosomal RNA", at positions 29 to 417 of the family's 1533-position model. The record is from RNAcentral.
AUUGAACGCUGGCGGAAUGCUUUACACAUGCAAGUCGAGCGGCAGCGCGGGGGCAACCCUGGCGGCGAGCGGCGAACGGGUGAGUAAUACAUCGGAACGUGUCCUUAAGUGGGGGAUAGCUCGGCGAAAGCCGGAUUAAUACCGCAUAAGCUCUGAGGAGGAAAGCGGGGGCUCCGUAAGGACCUCGCGCUGUUGGAGCGGCCGAUGUCGGAUUAGCUAGUUGGUGGGGUAAAGGCCCACCAAGGCGACGAUCCGUAGCUGGUCUGAGAGGAUGAUCAGCCACACUGGAACUGAGACACGGUCCAGACUCCUACGGGAGGCAGCAGUGGGAAUUUUGGACAAUGGGGCAACCCUGAUCCAGCCAUUCCGCGUGAGUGAAGAAGGCCU